This 459-nucleotide ribosomal RNA is filed under the name uncultured bacterium. Its description in RNAcentral is "partial 16S ribosomal RNA". It matches the Rfam family "Bacterial small subunit ribosomal RNA", at positions 338 to 795 of the family's 1533-position model. The record is from RNAcentral.
CCUACGGGUGGCAGCAGUGAGGAAUAUUGGUCAAUGGGCUAAGGCCUGAACCAGCCAAGUCGCGUGAGGGAAGACGGUCCUAUGGAUUGUAAACCUCUUUUGUCGGGGAGCAACGAGGCCACGUGUGGCCGAAGUGCGAGUACCCGAAGAAAAAGCAUCGGCUAACUCCGUGCCAGCAGCCGCGGUAAUACGGAGGAUGCGAGCGUUAUCCGGAUUUAUUGGGUUUAAAGGGUGCGCAGGCGGAUUUUUAAGUCAGCGGUCAAAUCGUGGGGCUCAACCCCACCCAGCCGUGGAAACUGGGGUUCUAGAGUUUGCGAGAGGUAUGCGGAAUGCGUGGGGUAGCGGUGAAAUGCAUAGAUAUCACGCAGAACCCCGAUUGCGAAGGCAGCAUACCGGUGCACAACUGACGCUCAGGCACGAAAGCGUGGGUAUCGAACAGGAUUAGAUACCCCUGUAGUC